RNAcentral lists this small nuclear RNA (160 nucleotides) under Mustela putorius furo (domestic ferret). RNAcentral describes it as "U2 spliceosomal RNA". It matches the Rfam family "U2 spliceosomal RNA". Rfam says of the family: U2 is a small nuclear RNA (snRNA) component of the spliceosome (involved in pre-mRNA splicing). Lineage: Eukaryota; Metazoa; Chordata; Mammalia; Carnivora; Mustelidae. The record is from Rfam by way of RNAcentral.
AUCGCUUCUCGGCCUUUUGGCUAAGAUCAAGUGUAAUUUGUCCAAGGGAAUGAAACUAAAAUGGAAAGGUGUUAUAUGUAUGCAGAUACCUGCAAGUGUUCCUAAAAUUCUGAUAUUUACGUUUUUUUUAUUUUGCAGUUUUUAAAAUUAUGUUCCGUUA